AUGGCUGUACAGAAGUCUUCAACAAAAAGAUUCAUCAAGAACAUAUAUAUGUUGUAAAAUUCACGGUGGAGAAAAAAAAAAGAAGAGGUCUAGUUCGCAAAAUGCGUAGUUACAGCCAAAAAUAAUUUGCCUUCAUGUUCACCACUGACACAAAGGUCGUCGGGAUGGGCACAGGUGAACUGGCAACUUUUUGUUCAACAUUAAUCUUUUAUUUAAAGAGGAAAACGAUGGGUUGGUAUCGACUUGACAGUCCACCUGCCUUUCAGCUCUGCCACAGCGUGAGAAACCUGAGUCGCCGGUGUCUCCAGGGCCGUGCAGUGGUUAACGAUGACAGGUUAAUUGUCUCUGUGCCAAGCAGCUUCCUCGCGUUGCGAUAGUCUGCGUGACAGAAAGCUCCCACCUGCGUGAUUAGAGUGCAGUCGCAGCCGUGUUUACAGGACGUGACGUUAGCAGACAGCAACUUCCGGCACAGCCGCCAUCUUGUCACCUCGUCUCCUGUCAAAGUCCAGCGCUGCUGUAGACCGGCUAACUUCAAUCAAGCAAUGCCGAUAGCGACAAGAAAAUGCGCUUGACCCGGCCACGAGGUGAAGACCACUCGAAAGCUCCCCCAUUCAUAACUUAUCUGAUGGGAAUCACCAGGAACACCGAAAAAAGCAUGCUGAAAGUUUUACGGUCCACUCCAAAGCAGAAACAAUGUGAAAGUUCUUUGACUGUGAUCAGAUAAAAUUAGCGAAGAUCAAUAAAAUUUGGUUUAAGCAAA
Long non-coding RNA from Pomacea canaliculata, 760 nucleotides. RefSeq lists it as uncharacterized. The transcript has 2 exons. NCBI's taxonomy places the organism in Eukaryota, Metazoa, Mollusca, Gastropoda, Architaenioglossa, Ampullariidae. The record is from RefSeq and is a predicted model, not a curated record.